Molecule: ribosomal RNA, 164 nt
Filed under: uncultured bacterium
Lineage: Bacteria
Description: partial 16S rRNA
Rfam family: Bacterial small subunit ribosomal RNA
Source: RNAcentral
UAGGGAAUCUUCCACAAUGGGCGCAAGCCUGAUGGAGCAACGCCGCGUGAGUGAAGAAGGUCUUCGGAUCGUAAAACUCUGUUGUUAGAGAAGGACAUGCGAGAGAGUAACUGUUCUUGUAUUGACGGUAUCUAACCAGAAAGCCACGGCUAACUACGUGCUAG